This 595-nucleotide long non-coding RNA is filed under the name Dasypus novemcinctus (nine-banded armadillo). RNAcentral describes it as "lncRNA (ENSDNOG00000050901.1)". The record is from RNAcentral. Lineage: Eukaryota; Metazoa; Chordata; Mammalia; Cingulata; Dasypodidae.
CCUCCUCCGGGGACAUGCCGGUGCUCAGACGGGCUCUGACGCACCGAGUGCUCAGCCCAGGGCCUGGCACCAGGAGUCACUGGGAACCAAAUCCGAGACCUCCCAUGAGGGAGGUAGACACCCAACUGCUUGAGCAGUUGACUGCAUCUAUGGUUGAUGACAUCUUAAUCAACUAAGGAGAUUGCCUUCAGCAGUGAGAGAAGUCUCACCCAAUCGGUUGGAGGCCUUAAAGGAAGAACUGAUGGUUUCAGCAGUCAGAAAGAAUUUCUGUUUCCACCUCACCCAGCCAGCUUCUCCUGGGGAAUUCAGAUAAACCUUCACUGGAGUUUCCAGCUUGUGGCCUGCUCUACGUGGUUUGGACUUGCCAAUCCCCACAGUCAUGUGAAUUCCUAUAAGAAUUCUCAUAAUAUUUACACAUAGACACAUCCUGUCGAUUCUGCUUCCUUGGAGAACUCUGACACAUACAGUGUGUUAACUCUGGGAUUUAGCCCCUGAGAUAUCUGUUCCUUAACUUUGUAUCCAGUUAAUGAUAUGACAGAGAUUUUCUUGAGUGCCAGGAUUAACAAAAACAAACACCUGGUGUAAUAAAUACCUU